AGCCAAACGAUCACAGAUUCUCAACUUAAUUUGGCAAUAAGACUGUAGCUCAUAACUGGGGUUCAACGUGGGGUGGCCUUUGUUACUCAGAGUUCUUCAAAGAGACUCUCCUGGCACCGGGAGGUUGUUCGAGGCCAUGCAUUCUGGUUCUUACUAAUCUGCUGAACUGGAAUGAGUAGUUCUGAAUCCCUUUACAAUCUGACACUUCACCCGGGAAAUCACACAGCCUCUUUUUAGAGGCUUUAAUUCCUACCCACUGGAAUCCACGGGCAACGGUGAGUUGAGAAUGGUGUUUCUUUUAUUUUAACUCCAAAAAUAAUCUGCCCUGGUAGCAAAUGGGAUGCUUUCGCCACUCCUCACGUAAGGUCGAAAGUUAGCAGCUGCUUUUGACUGUUGUGUGAGGCCGAGGGACCGCCGAGGACACGCCCCGAGGAGCCUGGGUCCCGCUCUUGAGUGCAGUGGGCUCUGGAGAGGAGGAGGAGGUGUGGAUAGGAGAGCAACUCACCUUCGUCUCUCUGUCAGUGAUGAAAACACAUGAAGCUUGCCCUUUUGUAAUGUCAACAGAAAAUUAUGCCUCCAACACAAACCCAGGCCAUUAAGGAGGCGGCUUUUAUUCCUGCUCAUAACGUGGGGAACAGAAGGCGGGGCACCAUGCGCCUCCCCAGCUGUUGCCGGGGAAGCCGGCGCGGAGCCGGCCGCAUCUGGAUGGCGUCUUUGAAGAGGCAUUAAUCUGUGGCUGAGGGACGCUAAGCCUCUCUGCUUUUCUUUGCUGCUUCUCAGGCUAAUGCUGCUUCUGCAAAGCUGUAGCGACUUCAUGUCCACGGGGGAGAUGAAGGAACAAUUACAGACGGUGAUACCAAGAUGCAUUUGGGCAAAAAUAAAGGGCAGGACAGAAGCGCUGUGCCUUGAUCAGUCCGGCAGAAGAUUCGCUUUUCCCCGCCUGAAAGGUGCCGCCCAGCUGGCAGCGCAAUGGCAGGAGCCCGGGCUACGCGAGCGCGGGGUGGAUGUUGGAGGGGAAGGCCGGGAGCUGGCUCCGUGGAAAAGGCUCCUGCGUGUCUCGGAACAUGUUGCUGGGUCGGUGGAUUUCGCUGCUCAUUUUUGUGGAUGAAACAUGCAUGUUACAUUACAUAAGGGAUCAGGUGGAAGAAUGAACAGGUUGGCUUAAGCACACGUCCUGGCUGGUGCUCGGAGAGUGGGCAUUUCUUUCUGCCACACUGAGGAGCUGCCUCCUCAGACGGACGUGACAUGACUUUCUCGGCUUCUCACUGUCACAGCGCGAGAGGCGGGGGCCUGAGACCCGACGCUGCCCAGGUCACAGCAGCGGGCGGCGUGCCGGCAGGUGCGCGCCUGUUAGACCCGGCGUGAGUGUAGUUUAACAACGAAUCUGCAGGCUGCCUGCCGUCAUGCACGUGGCCAUCGCUUCAGCUUUGCUCCUUUCCAGGUUUCGGGAUGCUCGGGGUGAAUGGGGAGGCGGCCGCCCCAAGGGAGGACCCAGGCAGCGUCGGCCUCCCGCUUGGGGUCCCUUCCCAGACCCUCGCCUGAACGAGUGGGACAGCUCCUGCCCCCCAGCGCGUCCCCAGGCUCCGGGAUGGUCACUGUCCAGGAGGCGCUUGGCCCUGCUCACCCGCCCGUUCUGCCCAUCCCUUGAGAACUCCGCGAUUUCGAAACUUUCCUGAUCUUUCUGCCGGAAGUAAUUUGUUCUACGUGAAACCACGGGCCACUCCUUCAUAUCUGUAGAGCGCUCUACCUUCUGUAACGUUUAUCUGCGAAACUGCUGCGUUAGGCCAGGAGCACUCCAAGAGCGAGAGGCAGACGCCGUCUGACUUUUCACCCUGACAGGGGACUUUUCCACCUGGCAGUGCCAAUAUCCGGCUCCUACGCAUUCUCCAUGGAGGAUCACCAGUCCAGUGCCCUUUACACGGUGAAAAACGUGAAUACAAGCCAUCAGUAGAAAAAGAAGACCCUCUGAAACAGGAAUUUCCAAGACAGUGCAUUGAGGAAGUCCAAGGAGGAAAGGAUGGGGAAUAGAAGACAGCAGCGAACAGGACUGGGGACUGUCACAGGAGCCAGAGAAAGGGCUGAUUCUAAGAGGAAGGAGACACCAAAAAUGUAAAAGGGUGCAAAAAUACUGGAGAGAGGAGGCCUUUAUGAUGGCCACUGGGUGGGGGCAUUGGCAGCCACCAAGGCCUCUGAGAGAGCAGAAAAUGUGGUUCCACCAAACACUCUUCUGGAACCUGCUCUUUUUUUUGUAAGGUGAGCUGAGCACUUAGAAGGAUCUUCCUAAAAUAUCCCCUUAUGAAAGAUUUCUAAUAACCCUUUCUCUCUGUCAUCUUCAUUAACCACUAAUUUUAAAUUUUUAAAUUUUUAAUUUUUAUUGUGGUAAGAGAAACACAUAACAUGAAGUUGCCCUCAUACUAGAUGUUUGCAACAUGGCAUAGUAUUGCUAAUUACAUACAUGGGGCUGUACAGCACGCCUCCAGGGCUCUUCCAUCUCACGUGGCUGAAACUCUCCACGUUCCUCCCCCAACCCCUGGCAACCACUAUUCUAGUCUCUGUGUCUAUAAGUUUGACUGUUUUAGAGACCUCAUAUAGGUAGACUCAUACAGUAUUUGUCAUUUUGUGACUGGCUUAUUUCACUUAGUAUAAUGUCCUCAAGGUUAAUCUGUAUUGUAGCAUGUGACAGGGUGCCCCUUUUAAAAGGUGGAAUGAUAUUCCAUUAUUUGUGUAUACACUUUCUUUAUCCAUUCACUUCCCAGUGGCCAUUUAGAUUGCCUCCACCUCUUGGCCAUUGCAUAUAAUGCUGCAAUGAACACAGUGUAGAUACUUCUUGGAGAUCCUGUUUUCAUUUUUUUUUCUGAUGAAUACUUAGAAGUGGGAUUGCUGGAGCAUAUGGCAGUUCUGUUUUUAAGGCUUUGAGGAACCUCCAUGCUGUUUUCCAUAGUGGGUGAACCAUUUUACAUUCCACAGCAGGUGCACCAUUUUAUAUUGCAUAGUGGGUGCACCAUUUUACAUUCCAUAGCAGGUGAACAAUUUUACAUUCCAUAGUGGGUGAACCAUUUUACAUUUCAUAGUGGGUGCACCAUUUUACAUUCCAUAGCAAGUGAACCAUUUUACAUUCCAUAGCGGGUGAACAAUUUUACAUUCCAUAGUGGGUGAACCAUUUUACAUUCCAUAGUGGGUGAACCAUUUUACAUUCCAUAGUGGGUGAACCAUUUUACAUUCCAUAGCGGGUGAACAAUUUUACAUUCUAUAGCGGGUGAACCAUUUUACAUUCCAUAGUGGGUGCACCAUUUUACAUUCCAUAGCAAGUGAACCAUUUUACAUUCCAUAGCGGGUGAACAAUUUUACAUUCCAUAGCGGGUGAACCAUUUUACAUUCCAUAGCGGGUGAACCAUUUUACAUUCCAUAGUGGGUGAACCAUUUUACAUUCCAUAGCGGGUGAACCAUUUUACAUUCCAUAGCGGGUGAACCAUUUUACAUUCCAUAGCGGGUGAACCAUUUUACAUUCCAUAAUGGGUGAACCAUUUUACAUUUCAUAGCGGGUGAACUAUUUUACAUUCCAUAGCGGGUGAACCAUUUUACAUUCCAUAGCGGGUGAACCAUUUUACAUUCCAUAGCAGGUGAACCAUUUUAUAUUCCAUAGCGGGUGCACCAUUUUAUAUUGCAUAGUGAGUGAACCAUUUUACAUUCCAUAAUGGGUGAACCAUUUUACAUUUCAUAGCGGGUGAACAAUUUUACAUUCCAUAGCGGGUGAACAAUUUUACAUUCCAUAGCGGGUGAACCAUUUUACAUUCCAUAAUGGGUGAACCAUUUUACAUUCCACAGCAGGUGCACCAUUUUACAUUCCAUAGCGGGUGCACCAUUUUACGUUCCUGCCAACAGUGCACAGUGGCUUCAAUAUCUCCUCCUCCUCACCAACACUUGCUACCUUCUGUUUCUUGAUAAUGGCCAUCUUAGUAGGUGUGAGGCUUAUCUUACACCAUACACAAAAAUAAACUCAAAAUGGAUUAAAGGCGUAGCAUAAGACCUGAAAGUAUAAAACUUCUAGAAGAAAACAGGAGAAAAACUCUGUUGCAUUGGUCUUGGUAGUGACUUCUUGGAUAAGUCCUAAAAGCACAGGCAGUGAAAGCAAAAAGAGACAAGCAGGAUUGCAUCAAACCCAAAAGCCUCUGUGCAGCAAAGGAGGCAACGAGCAGAGUGAAAAGGUGACCUAUGGACUUGGAGAAAGUGUCUGCAAACCAUGUGAUAUGGUUUGGCUGUGUCCCCACCCAAAUCUCAUCUUGAAUUCCCACCUGUUGUGGGAGGGAUCUGUUGGGAGGUAAUUGAAUCAUGGGGGUGGGUCUUUCUGUGCUAUUCUUGUGAUAGUGAAUGAGUCUCAUGAGAUCUGAUGGUUUUAUAAAAAUGGGAGUUUCCCUGCACAAGCUCUCUUCUCUUGUCUGCUGCCAUGUGAGAUGUGCCUUUCACCUUCCACCAUGAUUGUGAGGCCUCCCCAGCCAUGUGGAACUGUAAGUCCAAU
This 4516-nucleotide long non-coding RNA is filed under the name Homo sapiens (human). Its description in RNAcentral is "HSALNT0253702". Lineage: Eukaryota; Metazoa; Chordata; Mammalia; Primates; Hominidae. The record is from RNAcentral.